RNAcentral lists this ribosomal RNA (750 nucleotides) under Chaetomium globosum. RNAcentral's name for it is "eukaryotic LSU rRNA". The stretch from base 413 to 566 matches the Rfam family "5.8S ribosomal RNA". Lineage: Eukaryota; Fungi; Ascomycota; Sordariomycetes; Sordariales; Chaetomiaceae. The record is from RNAcentral.
CUAUUCGCCUUCGGCUUUAAUGAGCCAGAUCAGAGUCCGUGUGAGUUGACUAUCCGUACCGAAGCUUCAGACGGCCUAAUUAUCAAGGUUUGGAACUCCCGCGGCGCCCGCGGUGGACCCAGGGCGCCCGGGGGUAAACCUGCGCCGCCCGCGAAGCAACGGUUUAGGUAACGUUCACAAUGUUUAGGGAGUUUUGCAACUCUGUAUUCCGUAGGUGAACCUGCGGAGGGAUCAUUACAGAGUUGCAAAACUCCCUAAACCAUUGUGAACGUUACCUAAACCGUUGCUUCGGCGGGCGGCGCCGGGGUUUACCCCCCGGGCGCCCCUGGGCCCCACCGCGGGCGCCCGCCGGAGGUCACCAAACUCUUGAUAAUUUAUGGCCUCUCUGAGUCUUCUGUACUGAAUAAGUCAAAACUUUCAACAACGGAUCUCUUGGUUCUGGCAUCGAUGAAGAACGCAGCGAAAUGCGAUAAGUAAUGUGAAUUGCAGAAUUCAGUGAAUCAUCGAAUCUUUGAACGCACAUUGCGCCCGCCAGUAUUCUGGCGGGCAUGCCUGUUCGAGCGUCAUUUCAACCAUCAAGCCCCGGGCUUGUGUUGGGGACCUGCGGCUGCCGCAGGCCCUGAAAAGCAGUGGCGGGCUCGCUGUCACACCGAGCGUAGUAGCAUACAUCUCGCUCUGGGCGUGCUGCGGGUUCCGGCCGUUAAACCACCUUUUAACCCAAGGUUGACCUCGGAUCAGGUAGAGAUCCCU